UACGUAGGUGGCAAGCGUUGUCCGGAUUUAUUGGGUUUAAAGGGUGCGUAGGCGGUCUUAUAAGUCAGUGGUGAAAUACGGCAGCUCAACUGUCGAGGUGCCAUUGAUACUGUAGGACUUGAGUACAGACGAGGUAGGCGGAAUUGACGGUGUAGCGGUGAAAUGCUUAGAUAUCAGAAGGAACAUCAGUGGCGAAAGCGGCUUCCUGGACCAGAACUGACGAUCAGGCACGAAAGCGUGGGGAGCAAACAGG
RNAcentral lists this ribosomal RNA (253 nucleotides) under uncultured prokaryote. RNAcentral's name for it is "partial 16S ribosomal RNA". It matches the Rfam family "Bacterial small subunit ribosomal RNA", at positions 524 to 776 of the family's 1533-position model. The record is from RNAcentral.